This is an RNA transcript of Myotis lucifugus (little brown bat), 5870 nucleotides long. It is a transcript of the gene named LMBR1 domain containing 2, with no coding region annotated. NCBI's taxonomy places the organism in Eukaryota, Metazoa, Chordata, Mammalia, Chiroptera, Vespertilionidae. The transcript has 18 exons. The record is from RefSeq and is a predicted model, not a curated record.
CAGAUAUGAUCCAGCCCUGUACUGAGUUACUUCGGUUAGUCCGAGUGAACGCUCAAUAAUGAGUGGUGCAGCUUUGGGACUCGAGAUUGUUUUUGUUUUUUUUCUGGCAUUAUUUCUACUUCAUCGAUAUGGAGACUUUAAGAAACAGCACAGACUUGUAAUUGUUGGAACACUGCUAGCUUGGUAUCUCUGCUUUCUUAUUGUCUUCAUACUGCCUCUGGACGUUAGUACGACAAUAUACAACCGAUGCAAGCAUGCUGCUGCCAACUCAAGCCCUCCUGAGAACAGCAACAUCACAGGCUUGUACGCAACGGCCACCCCAGCUCCAAGUCCACAUCCGUGUUUCAAGCCAUGGAGUUACAUUCCUGAUGGAAUCAUGCCAAUUUUCUGGAGGGUAGUAUACUGGACAUCGCAGUUUUUAACAUGGAUUCUCUUACCUUUUAUGCAGUCAUAUGCAAGAUCAGGAGGGUUCUCCAUCACGGGAAAGAUCAAAACCGCACUGAUUGAGAAUGCGAUCUAUUAUGGCACCUACUUGCUGAUUUUUGGAGCAUUUCUAAUUUAUGUAGCUGUAAACCCACACUUGCACUUAGAAUGGAACCAGCUUCAGACGAUUGGGAUCGCUGCUGCUAACACAUGGGGUUUAUUUCUUCUUGUGUUAUUGUUGGGGUAUGGCUUGGUGGAAAUCCCUCGGUCAUACUGGAAUGGAGCAAAAAGAGGUUAUCUACUGAUGAAAACGUAUUUUAAGGCAGCCAAAUUGAUGACAGAGAAAGCAGAUGCAGAAGAGACUUUAGAAGAUGUCAUGGAGGAGGUUCGUAAAGUGAGUGAAAGCAUCAAGUAUAACCACCCAUUGAGAAAAUGUGUUGACACAAUACUUAAAAAGUGCCCUACAGAGUAUCAGGAAAAAAUGGGUAGGAACAUGGAUGAUUAUGAAGAUUUUGAUGAAAAGCAUAAUACCUAUCCGAGUGAAAAAAGUCUGGUGAAAUUACAUAAACAGGUUAUUUACUCAGUUCAGAGGCACCGUCGAACUCAAGUACAAUGGCAGAUCCUUCUGGAACAAGCAUUUUAUCUAGAAGAUGUAGCAAAAAAUGAAACUAGUGCUACUCAUCAGUUUGUUCACACCUUUCAAUCACCAGAACCGGAAAAUAGAUUUGUCCAGUAUUUUUAUAGUCCUGCAGUUGAGUGGUACUGGGAGUGUCUUUUGCGACCAUGGUUUUACAGAAUACUGGCUGUGGUUUUGUCUGUCUUCUCUGUGAUUGUCGUGUGGUCAGAGUGCACGUUCUUUAGCACGACGCCUGUCUUAUCCCUCUUUGCAGUCUUCAUACAGCUGGCUGAAAAAACAUACAAUUAUAUUUAUAUCGAGAUUGCUUGCUUCCUUUCCAUCUUCUUCCUAAGUAUCUGUGUUUAUUCUACUGUGUUCAGGAUUCGUGUGUUUAACUAUUACUACUUGGCUUCACAUCACCAGACCGAUGCUUACAGCCUUCUUUUCAGUGGCAUGUUAUUUUGCCGUUUGACUCCUCCUUUAUGUCUUAAUUUCUUGGGGUUGACCCAUAUGGAUUCCUCCAUCUCUCACCAGAAUACGCAACCAACUGCUUAUACAUCUAUUAUGGGUUCCAUGAAAGUUUUAUCCUUUAUUGCAGAUGGAUUCUAUAUAUAUUAUCCUAUGCUGGUAGUAAUUCUCUGCAUUGCUACUUAUUUUAGUUUGGGAACUCGUUGUUUGAAUCUACUUGGUUUCCAGCAGUUCAUGGGAGAUAAUGAUAUGACCUCAGACUUAGUUGAUGAAGGAAAAGAAUUAAUCAGGCGAGAGAAGAGAAAAAGGCAAAGGCAAGAAGAAGGUGAAAAUCGAAGAAGAGAAUGGAAAGAACGAUAUGGACACAAUAGAGAAGAUUCCACUAGAAACAGAAAUGUUCAUGUUGACCCAAAAGAGUCAAAUUUUUCAGAAAUGAGUACGACCCGAUCAGCAUCUAAAUAUACGAGGGCCAAUAAUAGGACUGAAAGGGAUCGAAUAGAACUCCUACAAGAUGUAGAACCUUUGGAUUUUAAUGCAGAAGCGUUUACUGAUGAUCCUCUAGAAUCUGAAUCAGGAAGGUAUCAGCCUGGUGGACGAUACCUCUCGAUGUCGCGCAGCAGAAUAUUUGAUGAUGUUUAAAGUCUGAAAGAAUUCAUGGAAUAACUAACCCAAGCCAAUCAGUUCAGUCUUUAUGAAUAUCUGUAUACCCUAAAAUGUACACUGUACUCUCAGUGAUAAACAAAAGACACUGAAAAUCAAUCACUUCUUAGUAAUAGUUCAUGCUCCAUUGAAUAGAGUAUCAUCUUUUCUAAUAGAAUUUAUUACAUGCCAUUCCUGAAGUGUCUGCCUUAGUUUGGAGUACAGUUAAUUCAUGAAGGGAUUUAAUUCAUGAUAAAGAUCGGUAUGUGUUGAGAACAUGUAGUUCAAUUUGUUUCAUAUUAUUUUUUUCAGGAAAGUUGAUUUAAAGCUCCAAGGAAGCCCUAAGUCAAACUCUAAUAUUAUACCACUUUAUUUUGAUUAACAUUUUUGCUAUUUCUAAAGAAUAUGUUAAUCUUGUAUUUCCCAAAGAAUUGAAGACCAUGAUAACCAUAUUUACAAAACCCAUGUUGUAAAACAAGGCUUGUUUACCAGACAUAAGUAGGUGUAAAAAGUUCUUUUCCAGCUCUUAUGCGUGUUGGUGAGGUCUUUGCAUGUACAGUUCAGACUAGACUUCAGCAACAGUGCUGGUGUCUGCAGCACGUGUGUGAUAACUGGGCGAAGUGUAAUUCUUAGUCUUUGGUAGUAACUGGAAGCUGCCAGUGCUUUGUUAUGCCUUGUAAAAGAUGUUCAUUUCAGAGAGAAGUGUCCACCUUUCUCAUUGAGUAGGUUGAUUUAAGUCUUGAUUAUUCCAUUUAAGGAGAAUCAUACACAUAAUGGUAAAUAGUGUUGUUGUUUUUUAAUAACCAAAGAGUCCCACAGAAUUCUCUAAUAUUUAAAGGUGCGUAUUUAUGCUUUUUGAAAAAGAAUAUCUGGUUAUUCAAAGGCAAAAAGUGAAUCCAUUUUCUGUUAUUACUACUAAUAACACUUAAAUUGUGGUUUAUAGCAAACAGAAAACUACAGGCAUACCUUGGAGAUAUUGUGGAUUCGGUUCCAGACCACAGCAGUAAAGUUUUGUCAUAAAACUCAGAUGUGAUUGUAGAAGCUGAAGCAGAAAACGAGAAGAAAUUAUCCAGUUACUUUUAUAACUUACAGUUACCUAAGAUAAAUUGAUAGGAAAAUGUAAGGGAAUGUACUACUUUCCUUUAUUAUUAAUUUUUUAUUAUUUGAAUAAUCAAAGUAUUACACUUCAUGAACAGUAGAUCCCUUUAUGACUUCUGAGUUAUUUUCCCAAUAAUUUUGGUUACGUGAUCCAGAGUACUCAACUUUUGAAGCAGAAUUUAUAAGAUUUUAUAUAUGAUCAGUUAGGAAGGUUACCUGGUAAAUUUGAGUUCAGAAAGUAAUGAUUUAAUCUCUGAAGACAGUUUAUUGCUGGGGGACUAAGUAAGCCACCUUGUAUAAAAAUCUGUAGUAAGUACAAGAGAGUUCUUUUUUGAGAAGCUUAUUAAAAUGUAAUGGCAUCUACUGUAAAACAUUACUACUAAGUUAAUAUACUUUACACGCAAAGUACUUUUCUUGAAGAGUUACUUCUGGCAAUUACCUCUUGAAGUCAGAUGUCUUUCUUACAUAAUAAUAGAUAUCUGAUUACAUUUUCUAUAUUAUUUUUCUAAAUAAUUGUUAGGUAAGCAUAUUCGUAAGCUGGUAAUUCAAAGUAAUCUUUGCAGAAAAUAAUUAAUAAUCUACUAAUUUCGUGAAACACCUGUAAGUUGCUACUUAAGUUUUGUUACUCCAUCAAUAAUGUAUUAUUAUCCAUAGAGCAUUUUUGUAAAAAUCAUCACUAAAAUAAGAAAUAAGAUAUAAGCCUAAUUAUUAGGAUUUGUUCUCUCACCAAAUGAAUACAAGGGCUUUGGGAUAAUGUCAUCAUGCAAGAGCCCCUCAUUUCACAAGAGCUAAAUCAAAAGAGUCGGUGGUUCUUUAGUUAUAAAAAACAGAUCCGAGAAUCUGGCAGUCCCAACCUCGGGAAGAAAUGCCACCAGUUGGUGUGUUUUGGGAGUCUGCUGUUUGAUUAGAUUAUCGGUUCUUAUAUUUAUGCCUUUUGUGUACCCAAAUGAAAGGUGAUGUGGAUGGGGAAGGCAAUGUGUGUUUUCGUAAGUGUAUUUCAGCAUAUUAAUGAAGGAAUUUCAUUUAUGUACAAUAGCAAACCUCACUUUUUAUACCUUUAAUAGGUUUAGGGAAUGUUCUUGAUGGUGUGGUGGUUACCAUUUUAAAGGAAAAAUAAACUCUCUGUGAUUAUAAUUCACACUGCCCAGUUUUGUGAGUUUUAUACUUGUGAUUUGAAUGGACCAUGUCUGAAAAUCACAAGGAUGAAUAUAUUUACACCUCCAUUUCCUUUCAUGCUCAGCCUGAUUUCCCUAAAUUUUAUUCUCAUUUUCAAAAGAUUUGUCCAUUAAGGUUGAUGGAAGCCUUGUUAUAAUUUCAAGUUUGUGAAUGAAGCAAAAAUAAUGGCACGUUCCUCUUUUCAUAUUGAUAUUCUAAAAGACAUUUGUUUUUGAUACUCUCCCUGGGGAGCAUUAACUUUUUUCUCCUGAAAAUAUUUUCUUUUAUGGUUAUCUUGAUCUCAAAUUAUUUUUGCAAAGAGAUUUUACUGUGUUUAGUGCAAAAAAAUAAGAGAGGGAGAGAGUUCAUGUAAAGUGGAAUUUCAGAUUAGAAACACAAUAUCAUUUACUAUGGCAGACAUAUGAAGGGUAAAAUGUAUUAAGCUGACUAUACAACACAUUUAGAGUUGAUGUAAUUGACAUAAAUCUUAUCAACCUUGUCGCUUUGAACUGUCUUUCUCAAAAGAAUGCUGGCUAGCAUCUUCCCUACUUGCUACACCAAAUUGUAGGGGAGAGACUGUGUAUGUAUUUUUUAAAAGCAAUCCAAUGGAUUUGUUUUUGUCCAUAUUUUGAAAACAAGCUUGAAGAAUUUUUCUUAUUUUAGAAGGUAGGGAACAUGUGGAACUGUCUUUUAAAUUACUGUAAUCUAAUAUAUAUUUAUAAAUUAUAGCAUUAAAAAGUUCUGAUAUUGAUGUUGUUACUUCCUGGUAUUUAAUUUUUAUAAAAUGUUUUUGUAAGUAACUAAUUGUAAUAUUUCUUUUAAGUAAUUUAAAAAAUCUUUCCCAGAUAAAUUCUGCCCAGAACCUAUUUCCUUAGGGCAAUAUUCUAAAGUUCAGUAGUCCAGCGUGAAUUUGAAAUGUUCUUACAUCUCCUCAGUCUCUUUUAAUAUAUACAAGUACCCAAGCAAAGUACACCAAAAGCCUAAUUUCUUUGUUGCAUUAAUAAAGUAUAUGCUAAUUAUCAAAUUCAGUGGAUUAGGUGGAAUAAAAGAUAAGUCUUUCAAAUAUGUAUCUGAUCAUAAUUUUUCAAAAUGUUCAUUAUGUUCAUUUUUGGUGCAUGAUGCCAAAUAAUCCUUAAUCAGCCAUUACUACCUGAUAUGUAGUGACAAAUGUUUUUCUAUCUGAUCAGUGGAUUGUAGAUUUCACUAUUUUUCUCUGCAGAUAAUCACUGCAUUUUCAAAUUGAUUUGGAAAAAGCGGCGAAGUGCUACCUAUAAGUAAAUUAGCAUAUUUGGCCUUAUCUAUGUAUAAGGUUUUCUCAGUUUGAUUUUGACAAACUCAUGGACUUGGAAUUGCUCUGUACUAUUUUAAUUUAUUGUGAUGUAAUGAUUUUUUGAAAUGUUUAAUUGAUUAGCUGUUAAAAUAUAGAAAAUUAUGUAGCUUUGCAUGAAAUAAAGUACAUUUCUACAAGUUA